This 500-nucleotide ribosomal RNA is filed under the name uncultured bacterium. RNAcentral's name for it is "partial 16S ribosomal RNA". It matches the Rfam family "Bacterial small subunit ribosomal RNA", at positions 30 to 523 of the family's 1533-position model. The record is from RNAcentral.
AUUGAACACUGGCGGAAUGCUUUACACAUGCAAGUCGAACGGCAGCACGGACUUCGGUCUGGUGGCGAGUGGCGAACGGGUGAGUAAUGUAUCGGAACGUGCCCAGUCGUGGGGGAUAACGUAGUGAAAAUUACGCUAAUACCGCAUACGAUCUAUGGGUGAAAGCGGGGGAUCGCAAGACCUCGCGCUAUUGGAGCGGCCGAUAUCAGAUUAGGUAGUUGGUGGGGUAAAGGCCCACCAAGCCAACGAUCUGUAGCUGGUCUGAGAGGACGACCAGCCACACUGGAACUGAGACACGGUCCAGACUCCUACGGGAGGCAGCAGUGGGGAAUUUUGGACAAUGGGCGAAAGCCUGAUCCAGCCAUUCCGCGUGCAGGAUGAAGGCCCUCGGGUUGUAAACUGCUUUUGUACAGAACGAAAAGGUUUCUACUAAUACUAGGAGCUCAUGACGGUACUGUAAGAAUAAGCACCGGCUAACUACGUGCCAGCCGCCGCCGUAA